Molecule: ribosomal RNA, 551 nt
Filed under: uncultured microorganism
Description: bacterial SSU rRNA
Rfam family: Bacterial small subunit ribosomal RNA
Source: RNAcentral
GAGUUUGAUCUUGGCUCAGGAUGAACGCUAGCGGCAGGCUUAACACAUGCAAGUCGAGGGGCAGCGGGGAGGAAGCUUUGCUUUCUCCGCCGGCGACCGGCGCACGGGUGAGUAACACGUAUGCAACCUGCCCCUGUCAGGGGACAACCCGCCGAAAGGCGGGCUAAACCCGCGUACAUGCCACCGGGGCAUCCCGGAGGCAGGAAAGGCUUCGGCCGGACAGGGAUGGGCAUGCGGCGCAUUAGGCAGUAGGCGGGGUAACGGCCCACCUAACCGACGAUGCGUAGGGGUUCUGAGAGGAAGGUCCCCCCACACUGGUACUGAGACACGGACCAGACUCCUACGGGAGGCAGCAGUGAGGAAUAUUGGUCAAUGGCCGAGAGGCUGAACCAGCCAAGUCGCGUGAGGGAAGACGGCCCUACGGGUUGUAAACCUCUUUUGUCGGGAGCAAAGAGAGCCACGUGUGGUUCAUUGAGAGUACCCGAAGAAAAAGCAUCGGCUAACUCCGUGCCAGCCGCCGCCGUAAAAACCUGAGACUACCAAGGCACACG